RNAcentral lists this small RNA (197 nucleotides) under pig gut metagenome. RNAcentral describes it as "RT-2 RNA". It matches the Rfam family "RT-2 RNA", at positions 12 to 210 of the family's 222-position model. Rfam says of the family: Coriobacteriales (Actinobacteria), Clostridiales (Firmicutes). Downstream gene The record is from RNAcentral.
ACAGUAAGCGAAAGCUGAAGCAGCACCUUUGCAGAAGGAGGGCUUGUUCCCGGGAAAACCAAAACAUUUCUUCGAUGCAGUCGGCCGGACGCUUCUUGCAUGGCGGGCAAACGUGCGGAUAGCCCGUUUCAUGGCCGGUACUGCCACGCGGAUAGAACACGCACCCGACAAUAAUUCCGCACGGAGGAUGCCUUAAA